AUACGGAGGGGGCUAGCGUUGUUCGGAAUUACUGGGCGUAAAGCGCGCGUAGGCGGCUUAUCAAGUUAGGCGUGAAAGGCCUGGGCUCAACCCGGGAACUGCGCUUAAUACUGGUAGGCUUGAGUCCGGGAGAGGAUGGUGGAAUUCCCAGUGUAGAGGUGAAAUUCGUAGAUAUUGGGAAGAACACCGGUGGCGAAGGCGGCCAUCUGGACCGGUACUGACGCUGAGGCGCGAAAGCGUGGGGAGCAAACAGGAUUAGAAACCCCAGUAGUCC
Molecule: ribosomal RNA, 274 nt
Filed under: uncultured bacterium
Lineage: Bacteria
Description: partial 16S ribosomal RNA
Rfam family: Bacterial small subunit ribosomal RNA
Source: RNAcentral